GAAGGGACCAAGCGUUGUUCGGAAUCACUGGGCUUAAAGCGCACGCAGGCGGGAAGUUAAGUGUCUUGUGAAAUCCCUCGGCUUAACCGAGGAACUGCUUGGCAUACUAGCUUCCUUGAGGCAAGUAGGGGUGCAUGGAACUCUAGGUGGAGCGGUGAAAUGCGUAGAUAUCUAGAGGAACGCCAGCGGUGAAAACGGUGCACUGGGCUUGUUCUGACGCUGAGGUGCGAAAGCGUGGGGAGCGAACGGGGGAUUAGAUACCCCGGUAGUCCACGCCGUAAACGAUGUCUACUAGGUCGUGGAGGUUCUGACGCCGUCACGGCCGAAGCAAAAGUGUUAAGUAGACCGCCUGGGGGAGUACGGUCGCAAGGCUA
RNAcentral lists this ribosomal RNA (374 nucleotides) under uncultured organism. RNAcentral describes it as "partial 16S ribosomal RNA". It matches the Rfam family "Bacterial small subunit ribosomal RNA", at positions 527 to 896 of the family's 1533-position model. The record is from RNAcentral.